This 2743-nucleotide long non-coding RNA is filed under the name Marmota monax (woodchuck). The stretch from base 1830 to 1887 matches the Rfam family "tRNA", at positions 7 to 64 of the family's 71-position model. The record is from RNAcentral. Lineage: Eukaryota; Metazoa; Chordata; Mammalia; Rodentia; Sciuridae.
CCUGACCUCAGAGAUUUUCCCAUUCUCAAAGGCAGACCCUGGUCUGCUCAAUUCUGAGUUGCUAUUCAAAGCACCUGCCACAUGAGGGUGCUCUUACACUUUUAAAGAGAGAUGCUCUGUUCAACUUAGAAUCUGAACAUUAGAAACGAAAACAUUGCUUCGGUUGCUCAACAUUUGAAAAUGGAAAUGUAGAAGAGUAUCUCCUAUGUAUUGAUGGGUGGCUGCACACAGGGGCUUUUACGUUCUUCCUUUUCCCUAGGAGAAACUUUUUGUAUUGUUAUGUGCUAUUUAGCUUCUCUAAAGUGCUAUUUUCAAAAAACACUUCUUAUUUAAUAUUUUGGGCAAAUGGUUGGCAUGUAGAACAUUGUCACAGGAUGGUUUUGAGGUGAUGGAAGAAUAGUAUUCAGUGGGACAGAUAUGAGUGGGUGAAAGGAUUGCCCCUGGGUACUGUCAUAUGUCCCCCCAGGCAACCAGUUCUUAUUAGCCUGGUCCCACCAACCAUGGAAGAAUUAUUGAGAAGAUACUGCCUUACAAAGGUCCCUGGGCUUCUGUCUGAAAUAACAGACUAUGGAAUGAGUGGAAUAUUCCCAUUUUCAUCUUAUUCCCAGGCAUGGACCUCUGAAGAGUGCCCAAACAGUGAGAAAUCCCAUCUCUGUUGAAGGUCACAGGGAAGCUCUGGCCAUGUCCAGAGAAACUGGCCAUGUCCUAAGCUAAUGAAAUUAGCUAAGAGACUUUCUUGUAAUUGAGGUUUUCUUAUGAUGGUGUUAUUGAAGAUUGCCUAAAAUGUAUAAAUCAAGAAAUUUAAUUAUAAACUCAUUUAGAAUUUAAAGGUAACUUGCUUUAAGAAAAAAACAGAAAUGGCGUAAGUAUAUGCUGUCCCACAGGGACCUGGGCUGGGAGGGAAAGCAAAGGGCUAGACAAGAAGUACCUGCUCUUCCCUAGAAACCUUUCUACACUUUUGGUGAUUGUACCAUAAGCCAGAAUUUUGGCUUAAGAAUUUAAAUGAAAUUAAGGGCAGCCUCUGCUUCUACUUAGGAUGGAUAAUAUCACCUUGCUAGGUGCUCCAUCCCCAUGAAGCCAGGUCCUUUCAGGUGAGUGAGAAAUACAAAUUUAUUUUGCUUACAUCAUUUGGGCUCUUUGGUGAAAUGCCAUCAAACUGAUGUUAGCUGAUAUGGUGAGGACUGUCUGCAUUCACAGUGUCAAGACCAACAUUUACCUUCUGUUCGGCAUAGCGAUCACACUUAUCCUUUGUCUGGAUUGAAUCUAAGUGCUGAAAAUGAAUAGAUAGCAAUCACCUUACUAUGCUGUACUGUUCAUCUCCUCAGAGCUACAAUCUGUGGGACUCAGUCUGCUUUCUCCUUGUGACAUCUGUACCACUUGUAGGGUAAUGUCCCAGUUUCAAAGUUCUGUGUGUUCCUGUGCUUCUUAAAUUAUGCUCACUUUACUUUGCUUCCUGUUUAACUAUCUUUAUUGGGUAGGAUUUUGUUUUUCUUAGAUUUUCUAGUUUUCCUUUGUUGAUUUUGCUGCUGCUGCUGCUGAUGUGCCUUAAUCCUAUCCUCCACUCAACCAGCAUUUCCAGAGCAUUCACUUGGUAUGCCCUUUUCUCCUGGAGUCCUUUUGGAUCUUUGGACCUUCCAGGUCUGCAGAUUACCUUCACUGGUUUAAAAGUUUAUUCCAUUCCUUUAUUGAGAAAAAUAAUUUUAUUCUAUUUUUUGGAUGGUUUUCCCCCUCGUCUACUUUCCUCUUCUUUUUCUUUUGUAAUUUUGAUAUCUCUUGCUCUCUCAUAUGUGCCCUGGUAAUUAAAAGAAAACAAAAUCAGUUCUGAGGAUGUAGCUCAGUGGUAGAGCACUUGCCUAGCAUGCAUAAGGCCUUGGGUUUGAUCCCAGCUCUGGGGGAAAGAAAAUCAGCUACUCUAUUUUGUAAUCAUUCUAUUGAUUUUUAAUAUUUGCCUUAUUGUACCAAUUACAUCUGCAUUUUUUUAGAUUUUUUCCAUAAUUUCAUGUCCUGUGGUCCUUUUUUUCUGGUAACUUGUUCUUUCUUCUGUAUGCCUUUCUAAAUGUGUAGUUGAUGCAGUUGCCUUUCAAAUUUCAUCGGGUGGCAUGUCCUGCAAACUCCAUUUUGUUGCUGUUUGAGGGCUACUCCUGUGGUAUCACCUUCUUAGCAUUUCUUGCCCUGAGCCUGGCCCAUCAUACUGAAGACCAGAAUCACCUUCAGGUAGUCCCAGGUACUGGUGGUGGCAACUUUAGGGUUGUAGAAAUAAGUCAAUGGGAGAAUUUAUGCAGGUCUGACCCCAGAGUUCAUGAGAAGAACCACUCACCAUAUGGAAGAGAUUAGGAGGAAGUAAUUGGGACUGCUUCCUCAAGAAAGUGACAUUUCAGUGGACUUUGAAGGUAAGUGAUAACUCACAGUGUGGGACACAGAAGUUAGUGUACAUUUCAUAGAAAUGAGAAAUGUUUGAGGGGAUAGAAAAUGCUAAGUACUCCAACUUGAUCAUUAAUCAUUGUAUAAAUGUAUGAAAUUAUGUGCAAAUAUUCUGUCAGAUAAAAAUAAAUUUUUUAAUUGAGAAAAAAAGAAAGUUGAUAUGUAUUCAUUUGUCAAACAUUUCAGGACUUCCCACAUGCCAUGUGUACCUUACUCAGUAUAAACGUGUCAAUUACUUUUCCAAGAACUUGCAGUCUAGAGGGACAGAUAGACUUGGUACAGAUGAAUGAUCAAGCUUGAUCAUCAGCUUCCCUUCUGCUGC